GAUGAACGCUGGCGGCGUGCCUAAUACAUGCAAGUCGAGCGAACAGACGAGGAGCUUGCUCCUCUGACGUUAGCGGCGGACGGGUGAGUAACGCGUGGAUAACCUACCUAUAAGACUGGGAUAACUUCGGGAAACCGGAGCUAAUACCGGAUAAUAUAUUGAACCGCAUGGUUCAAUAGUGAAAGACGGUUUUGCUGUCACUUAUAGAUGGAUCCGCGCCGCAUUAGCUAGUUGGUAAGGUAACGGCUUACCAAGGCAACGAUGCGUAGCCGACCUGAGAGGGUGAUCGGCCACACUGGAACUGAGACACGGUCCAGACUCCUACGGGAGGCAGCAGUAGGGAAUCUUCCGCAAUGGGCGAAAGCCUGACGGAGCAACGCCGCGUGAGUGAUGAAGGUCUUCGGAUCGUAAAACUCUGUUAUUAGGGAAGAACAAAUGUGUAAGUAACUAUGCACGUCUUGACGGUACCUAAUCAGAAAGCCACGGCUAACUAC
Molecule: ribosomal RNA, 494 nt
Filed under: uncultured bacterium
Lineage: Bacteria
Description: partial 16S ribosomal RNA
Rfam family: Bacterial small subunit ribosomal RNA
Source: RNAcentral